RNAcentral lists this transfer RNA (72 nucleotides) under Muntiacus reevesi (Reeves' muntjac). It matches the Rfam family "tRNA". From Rfam's summary of the family: Transfer RNA (tRNA) molecules are approximately 80 nucleotides in length. Their secondary structure includes four short double-helical elements and three loops (D, anti-codon, and T loops). Further hydrogen bonds mediate the characteristic L-shaped molecular structure. tRNAs have two regions of fundamental functional importance: the anti-codon, which is responsible for specific mRNA codon recognition, and the 3' end, to which the tRNAs corresponding amino acid is attached (by aminoacyl-tRNA synthetases). tRNAs cope with the degeneracy of the genetic code in two manners: having more than one tRNA (with a specific anti-codon) for a particular amino acid; and 'wobble' base-pairing, i.e. permitting non-standard base-pairing at the 3rd anti-codon position. Lineage: Eukaryota; Metazoa; Chordata; Mammalia; Artiodactyla; Cervidae. The record is from Rfam by way of RNAcentral. RNAcentral also lists the same sequence under 6 other names.
UCCCUGGUGGCUCAGAUGGUAAAGAAUCUGCCUGCAAUGCAGGAGACCCAGGUUCAAUCCCUGGGUUAGGAA